This 495-nucleotide ribosomal RNA is filed under the name uncultured bacterium. RNAcentral's name for it is "partial 16S ribosomal RNA". It matches the Rfam family "Bacterial small subunit ribosomal RNA", at positions 28 to 507 of the family's 1533-position model. The record is from RNAcentral.
GACGAACGCUGGCGGCGUGCCUAAUACAUGCAAGUAGAACGCUGAAGGAGGAGCUUGCUUCUCUGGAUGAGUUGCGAACGGGUGAGUAACGCGUAGGUAACCUGCCUGGUAGUGGGGGAUAACUAUUGGAAACGAUAGCUAAUACCGCAUAAUAGCAGUUGUUGCAUGAUAACUGUUUGAAAGGUGCAAUUGCACCGCUACCAGAUGGACCUGCGUUGUAUUAGCUAGUUGGUGGGGUAACGGCUCACCAAGGCGACGAUACAUAGCCGACCUGAGAGGGUGAUCGGCCACACUGGGACUGAGACACGGCCCAGACUCCUACGGGAGGCAGCAGUAGGGAAGCUUAGGCAAUGGACGGAAGUCUGACCGAGCAACGCCGCGUGAGUGAAGAAGGUUUUCGGAUCGUAAAGCUCUGUUGUAAGAGAAGAACGAGUGUGAGAGUGGAAAGUUCACACUGUGACGGUAGCUUACCAGAAAGGGACGGCUAACUACGUG